RNAcentral lists this ribosomal RNA (238 nucleotides) under Glomeromycotina sp. RNAcentral describes it as "partial small subunit ribosomal RNA". The stretch from base 40 to 238 matches the Rfam family "Eukaryotic small subunit ribosomal RNA", at positions 686 to 886 of the family's 1831-position model. Lineage: Eukaryota; Fungi; Glomeromycota. The record is from RNAcentral.
GGGUCAGUAGGUUGGUCGUGCCACCGGUACGUACUGGUCUCACUGAUUCCUCCUUCCUGAAGAACCGUAAUGCCAUUUAUUUGGUGUUGCGGGGAAACAGGACUGUUACUUUGAAAAAAUUAGAGUGUUUAAAGCAAGCUAUCGCUUGAAUACAUUAGCAUGGAAUAAUGAAAUAGGACGAUCGAUCCUAUUUUGUUGGUUUCUAGGAUUGACGUAAUGAUUUAUAGGGAUUGUUGGG